CCUACGGGGGACAGCAGUGAGGAAUAUUGGUCAAUGGGCGCGAGCCUGAACCAGCCAAGUAGCGUGAAGGAUGACUGCCCUACGGGUUGUAAACUUCUUUUAUAAAGGAAUAAAGUGAGGCACGUGUGCCUUUAUGUAUGUAAUUUAUAAAUAAGGAUCGGCUAAAUCCGUGCCAGCAGCCGCUGUAAUAAGGGGGAUCCGAGCGUUAUCCGGAUUUAUUGGGGUUAAAGGGAGCGUAGAUGGGUGUUUAAGUCAGUUGUGAAAGUUUGGGGCUCAACCGUAAAAUUGCAAUUGAUACUGGCAGGCUUGAGUACAGUUGAGGUAGGCGGAAUUCGUGGUGUAGCGGUGAAAUGCUUAGAUAUCACGAAGAACGCCGAUUGCGAAGGCAGCUUACUAAACUUCCACUGACAUUGAGGCUCGAAAGUGUGGGUAUCGAACAGGAUUAGAUACCCCAGUAGUC
Molecule: ribosomal RNA, 460 nt
Filed under: uncultured bacterium
Lineage: Bacteria
Description: partial 16S ribosomal RNA
Rfam family: Bacterial small subunit ribosomal RNA
Source: RNAcentral